Molecule: ribosomal RNA, 461 nt
Filed under: uncultured bacterium
Lineage: Bacteria
Description: SSU rRNA
Rfam family: Bacterial small subunit ribosomal RNA
Source: RNAcentral
AGAAUCAACGCUGGCGGCGUGCCUAACACAUGCAAGUCGAACGAGAAAGUGGGAGCAAUCCCACGAGUAAAGUGGCGCACGGGUGAGUAACACGUGACUAACCUACCCUUGAGUGGGGGAUAACCUAGGGAAACCUGGGCUAAUACCGCAUAAUACCUACGGGUCAAAGGAGCAAUUCGCUUAAGGAGGGGGUCGCGGCAGAUUAGUUAGUUGGCGGGGUAAUGGCCCACCAAGACAGUGAUCUGUAUCCGGCCUGAGAGGGCGCACGGACACACUGGAACUGAAACACGGUCCAGACUCCUACGGGAGGCAGCAGUGGGGAAUUUGCGCAAUGGGGGAAACCCUGACGCAGCAACGCCGCGUGGAGGAUGAAGCCCCUUGGGGCGUAAACUCCUUUCGACCAAGACGAUAAUGACGGUACUGGUGGAAGAAGCACCGGCUAACUCUGCGCCAGCAGCCGC